AUGAACGCUGGCGGCAUGUCUAAGGCAUGCAAGUUGAAGGUCUGUAGCAAUACAGGCCUGGCAGACGGGUGCGUAACACAUUGGUAAUCUACCUCCAUCUCGAGUACAACUUCCCGAAAGGGGAGAUAAUUCUCGAUGGUCAUGCGGGGACGUAAGUCAUUCGCAUGUAAAGCUCCGGCGGAUGGAGAGGAGCCUAUGGCCCAUCAGCUUGUUGGUAGGGUAAUGGCCUACCAAGGCGAUGACGGGUAGCGGGUGUGAGAGCAUGACCCGCCUCACUGGGACUGAGACACUGCCCAGACUCCUACGGGAGGCUGCAGUCGAGAAUCUUCCUCAAUGGCCGAAAGGCUGAAGGAGCAAUGCCGCGUGAUCGAAGAAGCCCCUCGGGGUGUAAAGAUCUUUUAUCAGGGACGAAUUCGUGACGGUACCUGAUGAAUAAGCCACUGCUAACUUCGU
RNAcentral lists this ribosomal RNA (453 nucleotides) under uncultured bacterium. RNAcentral's name for it is "bacterial SSU rRNA". It matches the Rfam family "Bacterial small subunit ribosomal RNA", at positions 29 to 506 of the family's 1533-position model. The record is from RNAcentral.